RNAcentral lists this ribosomal RNA (1683 nucleotides) under Klebsiella pneumoniae. Its description in RNAcentral is "bacterial LSU rRNA". It matches the Rfam family "Bacterial large subunit ribosomal RNA", at positions 1263 to 2925 of the family's 2925-position model. The record is from RNAcentral. Lineage: Bacteria; Pseudomonadati; Pseudomonadota; Gammaproteobacteria; Enterobacterales; Enterobacteriaceae.
GUGAGGCAUGCUGGAGGUAUCAGAAGUGCGAAUGCUGACAUAAGUAACGAUAAAGCGGGUGAAAAGCCCGCUCGCCGGAAGACCAAGGGUUCCUGUCCAACGUUAAUCGGGGCAGGGUGAGUCGACCCCUAAGGCGAGGCCGAAAGGCGUAGUCGAUGGGAAACAGGUUAAUAUUCCUGUACUUGGUGUUACUGCGAAGGGGGGACGGAGAAGGCUAUGUUAGCCGGGCGACGGUUGUCCCGGUUUAAGCAUGUAGGCUGAUUGUCCAGGCAAAUCCGGAUAAUCAAGGCUGAGGUGUGAUGACGAGGCACUACGGUGCUGAAGUAACAAAUGCCCUGCUUCCAGGAAAAGCCUCUAAGCAUCAGGUAACAUUAAAUCGUACCCCAAACCGACACAGGUGGUCAGGUAGAGAAUACCAAGGCGCUUGAGAGAACUCGGGUGAAGGAACUAGGCAAAAUGGUGCCGUAACUUCGGGAGAAGGCACGCUGGUGUGUAGGUGAAGUCCCUGCGGAUGGAGCUGAGACCAGUCGAAGAUACCAGCUGGCUGCAACUGUUUAUUAAAAACACAGCACUGUGCAAACACGAAAGUGGACGUAUACGGUGUGACGCCUGCCCGGUGCCGGAAGGUUAAUUGAUGGGGUUAUCCGUAAGGAGAAGCUCUUGAUCGAAGCCCCGGUAAACGGCGGCCGUAACUAUAACGGUCCUAAGGUAGCGAAAUUCCUUGUCGGGUAAGUUCCGACCUGCACGAAUGGCGUAAUGAUGGCCAGGCUGUCUCCACCCGAGACUCAGUGAAAUUGAACUCGCUGUGAAGAUGCAGUGUACCCGCGGCAAGACGGAAAGACCCCGUGAACCUUUACUAUAGCUUGACACUGAACAUUGAGCCUUGAUGUGUAGGAUAGGUGGGAGGCUUUGAAGCGUGGACGCCAGUCUGCGUGGAGCCAACCUUGAAAUACCACCCUUUAAUGUUUGAUGUUCUAACGUUGGCCCCUGACCGGGGUUGCGGACAGUGUCUGGUGGGUAGUUUGACUGGGGCGGUCUCCUCCCAAAGCGUAACGGAGGAGCACGAAGGUUAGCUAAUCCUGGUCGGACAUCAGGAGGUUAGUGCAAUGGCAUAAGCUAGCUUGACUGCGAGCGUGACGGCGCGAGCAGGUGCGAAAGCAGGUCAUAGUGAUCCGGUGGUUCUGAAUGGAAGGGCCAUCGCUCAACGGAUAAAAGGUACUCCGGGGAUAACAGGCUGAUACCGCCCAAGAGUUCAUAUCGACGGCGGUGUUUGGCACCUCGAUGUCGGCUCAUCACAUCCUGGGGCUGAAGUAGGUCCCAAGGGUAUGGCUGUUCGCCAUUUAAAGUGGUACGCGAGCUGGGUUUAGAACGUCGUGAGACAGUUCGGUCCCUAUCUGCCGUGGGCGCUGGAGAAUUGAGGGGGGCUGCUCCUAGUACGAGAGGACCGGAGUGGACGCAUCACUGGUGUUCGGGUUGUCAUGCCAAUGGCACUGCCCGGUAGCUAAAUGCGGAAGAGAUAAGUGCUGAAAGCAUCUAAGCACGAAACUUGCCCCGAGAUGAGUUCUCCCUGAGACUUUAAGUCUCCUGAAGGAACGUUAAAGACGAUGACGUUGAUAGGCCGGGUGUGUAAGCGCAGCGAUGCGUUGAGCUAACCGGUACUAAUGAACCGUGAGGCUUAACCUU